This 201-nucleotide long non-coding RNA is filed under the name Capsicum annuum. RNAcentral describes it as "long non-coding RNA (CANN_LNC010110)". The record is from RNAcentral. Lineage: Eukaryota; Viridiplantae; Streptophyta; Magnoliopsida; Solanales; Solanaceae.
ACAUGGUUUAUGUCGGUUAGACGAACCUCCCUAACUGAAAAGAAUAGCAAAAAAAGUUUUUAGAAGAAAAUCCCUAAUUCCUAAGUCCUAAAACAGAAUAAUAGAAUAGUGUUCUUAGAAACUAAGUUUAAAGGCUCACAAAUUUACUUAGAUAUUUUCUUAUAAAAGACGUCAGUUAUUAGAUUUCAGCUUUAAGUUUGC